Molecule: ribosomal RNA, 468 nt
Filed under: uncultured bacterium
Lineage: Bacteria
Description: partial 16S ribosomal RNA
Rfam family: Bacterial small subunit ribosomal RNA
Source: RNAcentral
GACGAACGCUGGCGGCGUGCUUAACACAUGCAAGUCGAACGGAAAGGCCCUGCUUUUGUGGGGUGCUCGAGUGGCGAACGGGUGAGUAACCCGUGAGUAACCUGCCCUUGACUUUGGGAUAACUUCAGGAAACUGGGGCUAAUGCCGGCUAGGAGCUCCUGCUGCAUGGUGGGGGUUGGAAAGCUUCGGCGGCUGGGGAUGGACUCGCGGCUUAUCAGCUUGUUGGUGGGGUAGUGGCUUACCAAGGCUUUGACGGGUAGCCGGCCUGAGAGGGUGACCGGCCACAUUGGGACUGAGAUACGGCCCAGACUCCUACGGGAGGCAGCAGUGGGGAAUAUUGCACAAUGGGCGGAAGCCUGAUGCAGCAACGCCGCGUGCGGGAUGACGGCCUUCGGGUUGUAAACCGCUUUCGCCUGUGACGAAGCGUGAGUGACGGUAAUGGGUAAAGAAGCACCGGCUAACUACGUG